UUGGAGCCCAUCGUAGUACAUGUCAAUGGGAGCAAGGUGUGAAAUGGACCUUCAAGGAGAGAAUAAAGCAAACAGAAACAUGUGGAGCCAGGAACUGGGGUCAUCGAGGGAUGCAACAUUUUACUUUCUUGUGGCAGGCUGCUCCCCACCUUGAAGUCUGCAUGCUGGCCCAGAGCCAGAGGAAGUAAAGCCCCAGCACUCGACCAUGCAGGGACAGCCAACUGCCCUGCCAAGGGGCCAGCUCGUCCUGGGGCUCCCUUGCACACCAGGCUCCAGCUACUGCCCCACAUCCUUUCAUCUUCCAUUCUCACUGGGCUUUUGUACACAUGGCCUCAUCUCCCUAGAAUGUCCUUGCCAACCUCAUUUGCCUGGCCAACUUUUCCUCCCUUCCAGGACUCAACCCAAAUAUCAAACUUCCCGGACAUCCACCUCCUCCUUAGUCUGAACUGGUCCUCCAUCCUCUCGUAACCCCUGUAUUCUGCUAUAUCCUUAGUUAUCACUGUGCACUGUAACUGUAACUUGCCUCCCCCACUUGCAAAUGAGG
This 544-nucleotide long non-coding RNA is filed under the name Homo sapiens (human). RNAcentral describes it as "HSALNT0017221". The record is from RNAcentral. Lineage: Eukaryota; Metazoa; Chordata; Mammalia; Primates; Hominidae.